This 495-nucleotide ribosomal RNA is filed under the name uncultured bacterium. Its description in RNAcentral is "partial 16S ribosomal RNA". It matches the Rfam family "Bacterial small subunit ribosomal RNA", at positions 28 to 507 of the family's 1533-position model. The record is from RNAcentral.
GACGAACGCUGGCGGCGUGCCUAAUACAUGCAAGUAGAACGCUGAAGGAGGAGCUUGCUCUUCUGGAUGAGUUGCGAACGGGUGAGUAACGCGUAGGUAACCUGCCUGGUAGCGGGGGAUAACUAUUGGAAACGAUAGCUAAUACCGCAUAACAGUAGAUGUUGCAUGACAUUUGCUUAAAAGGUGCAAUUGCACCACUACCAGAUGGACCUGCGUUGUAUUAGCUAGUUGGUGGGGUAACGGCUCACCAAGGCGACGAUACAUAGCCGACCUGAGAGGGUGAUGGGCCACACUGGGACUGAGACACGGCCCAGACUCCUACGGGAGGCAGCAGUAGGGAAUCUUCGGCAAGGGACGGAAGUCUGACCGAGCAACGCCGCGUGAGUGAAGAAGGGUUUCGGAUCGUAAAGCUCUGUUGUAAGAGAAGAACGAGUGUGAGAGUGGAAAGUUCACACUGUGACGGUAUCUUACCAGAAAGGGACGGCUAACUACGUG